RNAcentral lists this non-coding RNA (30 nucleotides) under Mus musculus (house mouse). The record is from RNAcentral. Lineage: Eukaryota; Metazoa; Chordata; Mammalia; Rodentia; Muridae.
UAAUUCCUAUUAAUAGUUGCUACAUAAACC